UUUUUUUUUUUUUUUUGACACAAGAGGUAGUAAUUGUCAUGACCUCUGGGAGAGGACCAAUCUGUUCACCUAGGAUUUAAGUGUCCUUUCUCACUCUCAGAAGCAAAAAGCAGCCAAAGAAGGUCUAUACUACAGCUCUACCAAAGGAUUCCUAAAAAUUGGUCAGUAUAAUGUCUACUCUAUCACCAUGGUGAGCAUGGUAGCCUGAAUCCAGCUUUUCUGUAGACUGCAGCAGAGGUAGUUGAAUGACCACGGCCAUUCAGAAGGACCUGAUAGUGCAGUAACCAGAAAGCCCAAAGGUCAGGGUAAAUCAUCAUUUGCUUCAUUUCUCCCCAUAAAACACUGAACAAACCUCUGGUCAUGUGUCAGAGAGUCCUUAUUUGCAGUCAUAUGAUGAUACCAUUUUCUAUUGCAAAUUGCAAAUUCAAUUCUCAAGUUCAAUUAUCCUGGAGACAGCCAACCAAUAAGCUCAGCAGUGUUUGAAAAGAAGAACAAGUAGUACAGGUUUUUAAACACAUACAUAAAUACAAAACUGUUAACUAUAAACCCCAGCAAAAUUGAAAAUGGGCAGUGUGUAGCCCUGGACUGGGGUAGGAAAUAAGGAAAGAAGUUUUGGUGGUUAGACAUAAGACAGAAUCUGGAUUUAUGUGUUUUCUGGAACAGGAAUCCAAAAUUAUCCUUCAUGAGGGACACUUUUUUUUUUUUUUUUUUUCUUAAUGGCCAGUGAAGCCUUGGGAAACUGGAUAAUCCAACCUCUCCUAGAGAUUCAUAAAAGCUUUUAGCAUCUCUAAGAUUCAAAAAAUCCUUCAAGAAAUCUUUGUUUACUUUAUUUGGCAUUUCCCAUAUUUGUUUAAUCAUAAAGCAUUUUUUCUUAAGAAGCUGUUUUGGCAGUUGUCAGAGCUUGUUUAUCACACAGCUCACUUUGGGAAACAAUGACGUAAAUAGAUUUCAAGUUAUGGAGGACAUCCCAUUAAAGAUAAGACUCACAUUUCAAGAUAUUUUCUUCCCAUGAAAAGCUACAGACAUUUACAAGACAUGUUUGAGGCAGGCCUAUUUAGGACUUUGCUAUUCAACGUGUGGUUCUUGGAACAGCAACAUUGGCAUCACCACUGAGCCUGUUAGAAACGCUGAAUUCUGGUCCUGCCCCAGAGAUAUGGAGUCAGAAUCUUGCAUCAUCUGUAAGAUCCCUCAGGUGAUUCUUUCGCAUAAAAAGUGUAAGGAAGACUAUUUUAGGAGACUCAUACUCUCUAGAGCAUAUGCAUUUCAUGCCUUUCUGCAUGCAAACUGGACAAUACAAACUAGAAUUAUAUAUAAUUAUAUAAUUAAGGUUAAUGACAUUUGUCUUUUAAAAUUUGAACACUGAAACAAUUUUUAUAGGAGAAUAACAAUUAUAUUAAAAUAUAAUGUAAACCACGAGAAGGUGAUCAGUUUGAAUGAACAUUUAUGAACAUUAGAUCUGGAUCAAAAUAACUGGAUCAGCAUAUAUCAUGAAAUCAGGAGAAUGGCAUAACACACAGACAAAAUCAGGCAAAAGCUACAGCUCCCACCUGAUUAGGACUUACCACAAUUUCCUUGUGAGAAGGAAAAAGCAUUUGGCCACACACAUGCACUCUGGUUAUAUUGACAAAUUAUAUGCACAAUCCUCAUUUCAUUCACACUUUUCUAAAAGAAGCAUGUGUCAGGUUUAGAAAUAUUCUCAUUAUUUAAAAAUAUCUAUCUUAACAUUUAUUUAUUUGCACACUUACUGCUUUAUUAAUUCAUUUCAGGAGUAUUUUCAUUGGAUUUAGCACCAUCCUCAGAUCAGUAAGACAUAAACUUUCCCAUGAGAGGCUCAUAAUCUUGUUUAUUAGAUGGAUUAGAAUUAAUCCACCAUGUUUGAACGCAUGCACAUUUCUAGGUUAUAGCAAAGAGUUCCAAAACUAGAAGACAUACAUGACAAAUGUUA
RNAcentral lists this long non-coding RNA (1945 nucleotides) under Canis lupus familiaris (dog). RNAcentral describes it as "lncRNA (ENSCAFG00845003375.1)". Lineage: Eukaryota; Metazoa; Chordata; Mammalia; Carnivora; Canidae. The record is from RNAcentral.